RNAcentral lists this unclassified non-coding RNA (141 nucleotides) under uncultured Hysteriales. RNAcentral describes it as "sequence contains ITS2". The record is from RNAcentral. Lineage: Eukaryota; Fungi; Ascomycota; Dothideomycetes.
AAACCAUCAAGCCUAGCUUGGUCUUGGACGCGGUCGAGUGACCCGUCCGUAACCCGUUGGCGGUGCGGUCCGGCUUCAAGCGUAGCAAAAAUUUCGCUUCAGGAGUCCGCGGCGGUGCCUGCCAGGUAACAGUAUCCCAAA